Molecule: long non-coding RNA, 1186 nt
Filed under: Gallus gallus (chicken)
Lineage: Eukaryota; Metazoa; Chordata; Aves; Galliformes; Phasianidae
Description: lncRNA (ENSGALG00010004411.1)
Source: RNAcentral
CCCCCAUACACAGCGCUAAAGCAUCGGGUAGGGUGACUCAGAGUAACUUCUUUCCUGCAGAACUGCUCUCUGAGGUCUGCGGCCACAGCCCAGAGCUGAGUAUGAGUAAACCCUACGUGGAGUUUGGGGCUUUUCCCAAACGGCCCCGGCUGCCGUUCUCUGACCUUACGCACGGAUCGGUGGGUCUGAAAGUUGGGUCCUCCCCGCGCCACGGGCCGGCCCUGCUCUGCUCGGAGUCAGCGGUCCCCCAGCACGAUAGAUAAGCAGCAGCUCGCUACGGCCAAAGGAGAAGGAAAGGGGAGAGCGAAGCUCGCUGCCCGCCUCUCUGCGACCAUCGCUGGGAAAGUGGGAAAAAGGCUUCCGCGUGCAUCGCUUCGAAACCACCGCUGUCUGACCGAGGGGGAAGAAGGGAAGGAGGAAGGAAGGAAGGAAGGAAGGAAGGGAGGAAGGGAGGAAGGAAGGGAGGAAAAACAAACGUCACGGCGCUUGAAGAGACAAUGGGAAACACGGUCUAACACCUCGGCUGCUGAAUGCAAUAUUUAUAUGAUCUCUGCGAGAGAACGCUUCGUUGGGGUUUUUUUUUUUUUUUCCCUCCAUCACCGUCCGACGCUCGUCUAAGUAAACUUUUAGCUUAUAAAAACGCCUCGCCUAUGUAGCACCCGUCUAAAGGGCCCCGUUGUGAACGUGUAACUACCGGAGUUUAGAGUUCCCCUCGUGUCUAUGGAUGGCGGUGCGCGGCACACACACGGCGCUGCUCCCAGCCCGCUCCGCGCCUCUCCUCCGAGCUUUGUGUCGUGCGCUGUGUCCCCCCGGGCUCCUCUCUCUCUCUCUCUCUCUCUUUUUGGAAGUUAACCGUUUCCCAUCAGGAUAAUGCCACGAAACGCACUUUAAAACUGUUACCGGGGUGAGGUGUGGGGGGGAGGGGGGGGGAGGCGAAUUGAAAGUGGCAUUUUUUCCACUUCAUUUCACCCUUCCCCCCCCCCCCCCCCCCUCCCCCCGUGAAAGACACAGGGCUGCCCGAGCGGAGCUGCUCCUUUCGUUCCGUACAUGACGCUGCGAACCGACCGGGGGUGGGGGGAGUGGGGUGGGGGGGGGGGGGGGGGAGGAAAAAAUAAUAAAUACGGGAAGCAAAGGUGAAGGGAGCGCGGGCUGCGAGCAGAGCCGCUCCGGGGGGGCCGAGGGCGGG